This 15105-nucleotide long non-coding RNA is filed under the name Lactuca sativa (garden lettuce). Its description in RNAcentral is "long non-coding RNA (LSAT_LNC001726)". The stretch from base 4187 to 4339 matches the Rfam family "U4 spliceosomal RNA". The record is from RNAcentral. Lineage: Eukaryota; Viridiplantae; Streptophyta; Magnoliopsida; Asterales; Asteraceae.
GAAUGUAAUGUCCGAGAAUAUAGUGACGACAUGGUGGAAUGAAAUCUGGAUUUCCAAAUUCUGCUUCCAAACAUACCCUAAGAUUCUUAACUGAUACUUUUAUUCCUUACUUACCCUUUUUGCAAUUAAUCAUGACUGUUGUAGGUGCCAUUCUUCAACAUAGGGAUCAAUACAAUGGAUACAUUUUCACACGUUGGAGGCAAUUAUGCAGUAGGAAAUCCAGCUUAAUGAACUCCAACAUCAGGUAUAUUUUUCUUUGAAAUUUCAGCCAAUUUUGAGCUUAUCUAAAAUAGUUUUUCGUUUAUUAACCAAAAAAUGUGUUGAAGGGAAAUAUUCAAAGACUAAAAUCUUUUAUAUUUAAUGUUGAAUUAGGUUAUAGUUACCGGUCAAUGUGGGAAACGUAGUGAGAAAAGAGAGAGUUCUGGUAUGGUCUCCCUGUUGUGCCCAUAAGUAAAGGUAAUUUCAGCUCUUUAAAAAAUUUCUUAAUACAUUAUUUAUGCUUUGUUAAAAAUGGUAUUAUCAAUUAUGUCUAUUUGUUUCUUUUUUAAAUUUGUAAUGUUCGUUGUAAAAAGUUGUGACAUUGCUGUAUAGUAACAUUACAUGAAUUUAUAAAUAUGUUCAAAAGAAUUUGGUCAAUUGACAACCACUGCAGCUCAGGUUAAAAUCUAUUUUUUCUUUGGUUCAAGUCAAAAUUUCAGUCCUCAUUCUUAUCAAGCAUUUGAUGUUCAGAAAGUUUGAUUUUUUUUUUUUAAUUUGUUAGUUAAAAUGAUCAUUUUGACCUUUUUAUCCAAUUUGGUAAUUUUAACGGAGUUUUUUUUCGUUAAUUGACCCAUUUAAACAGAAAACAAAAAAAAUAUCUAAUAUGAAACUCUUAAAACAGGAAAUAUAAUUUUUUUGGUCAAAGAAUUCAUUUUCACCAUUUUUAUCAAUUUGCCCAUUUUUGUUCAAUAUACAGGGACCAUAUAUGUUAGUUUUGUUAAAAGGAGCGAAAAUGACUCUCAAUUGGUGUUUGAUUUGGUUAUACAUAAAGUCAAGCUGCCAUUUUGUAAUCUAAAUAAAAUUGAUCUAGAUUUUUUUAUUUUUUUAAUAUAAAUUCAUUAAAUGGAAUCUUUUAAUUUUCUCAAGUUUUUAGUUUUCUUUUUUAAAUCGAUGCAAACUAUAGUGCUAUAAAACAUACUUUCAUGCUAUUAGGAAUACAAUAAAAUUUAAUUAGCUACUUCAUAGUUUAUUCUCUAAUUUUAUGCAGAUAUUCAGGAAGGAAAAUCAUGAGAGGAGGAUUUCAAAGUGUGUAUUACCGAAUCCCAGAUUCUUUCAUAAAUGAGCCUUGUGGAAACCUAAGUUUUUUGGUUUAAAAUCAAAUACAAAGUUUUUUGGGCAAACAGUUCUGUAAACUACCUCUGCAUGCUAUUUUUUAUAGUUAGAAAUUUAUGAUUCUAACAACAUCAGACCAAAAUGCUCCAGCAUAUUGUUUUUAUAAUUAAAAAAAAAUGAUUUUAAUAUUUUUUGACCAAACUGCCCCUUCAUGCUAUUUUUAUAUUUAAAAAGUUUGACCGGUCGAAUGUUUAUUUAUGUUAGUGUUUUAUUUCUUCCCAAUUUAUGCAAGAAUGAUUCACAUUUUUACCAUUUAUGCAACAAUGUUGUGCUUUUUUGUUUACCAAUUUAUGCAAUAUUCACGGUUUUGGUCUUAUAAUGAAAUGUAGGUGGAAAUCAUAUGUAGGAAACUAUUUUGUUGCAUAAACUGAUAAAUUGGAAAGUACAAUGCUAUAAAUGGUGAAUAAAUACAGUUUUAGCAUCCAAUUCAGGGUGGAAAAGAAACUAUUGUUCGUUCCUAGGAUGUCGUAACCGGAACUGGAACCGCUUUAUGUGAAGUAAAAUCCAUUUAUUUUUAUACAUUUUCAGAUUCUUGAUUCGUGUGUAAUAGUAACACUCAUUUUUUUUUUAAAUGUCAGCAUAUGGAGGAAUUCAUGAUUCAAGGAGACAAUGAAGGACUUAAGUUGCAUAAAAACAACCAUUAGUCAGGCUGCAAAAGUUGUUAUUAGAAUGGAUGUUCCUAUAUCUAAAUGUGGCGAAGUUUGUAAAUAACAAUGGGUAUAUACGUAUUUUGAUUGGAUGACAUUUACAAUGAACAAACAACGGAAAACAAUUGUCCCCAUCUAGUUCUAUUUAACACAUUAAUUAUAUAAAAGGACGUGCAACAAGCAUUUUGAGUCGACAUAAUCUGACCCGUAACAACACUUAUUCAACCGCUCUCAGCUUUUUCCAUCUAAACAUGAAAAGCUUUGUUAACACAACAUUAGGGUUAUACCUGCUUACUAGCCUGCCAAAAGAAGUGAACGUUAUCCAUUCUUGGUCAAUAACUUGGUUAGAUGUAGUAACUGCUUCCUAUCUUUUCAUAUGAUCAUAUGUCAAAAUUUUAAUUUUAAAUGAUGUAAGAAAUAACAAGGACCACAUAUGAUACAAUAAUACCUUUGAUAUUUCUUUUAAUGGUAUAGUUUAGCUUUUUUCGUUGCCUUUAACAAGCCAAAGGCCCAAAAGAUACAAUCUAUGAGUUUGAUGUAUCUUCAUUCUUAUGAUUAGUAAUACGAACCUCGUCAAGGUGGCCUAAUGGUGAUCACAUGAACUGCCUGUGUGCCCCACAUGCUUCAACCUUGGAUGGACAAUCAUUAAAAAAAAAGUACCAUGAACCUAUAGAAUGUUGAGUCAUAUUUACAUUUUACACGUAGUACUUAACUGGUUUAAGGUUUUGGUUAGCACCUUCCUUGCUCUCUGUAAUUAAACACUACUUUGAUAUUGACCUUCCCAUUUUGGCCAUGGAACCGGUUGCUCUUAUACCAUUUUUAUGUUUAGGCAUGAAGAUUAAUAUUCUAAAUUAGUUGUGUCUUCAAAUGGAAUUAUCAUUUAUAAUCAUCGGCUUCUGUAUGGUCGUUUCUUUUUUAUGAGUGGCACGCAUGUGAUGCACCAUAAAUACCAUGAAAACCAUGUUAUGCUCAAAGUUCAUCAAAGUUUUGUUGUAAGUUAAAUAUUUAAAACACCCCUCAAACUUGACAAGAUAAAGAUAUAUAGUGGAUGAAAAUCAAUGUCAUCAAUAUUUUGAUGGAUUACAAAUGGGGAAUAUCCUGUAUUUAUUCAACGUUGAAUAGUAAAUUUAACAAUCAACCAUCAUUAACUUCGUCAUUUUCAAAGACUUAGAGAGCAUCCACCAUUGAGCUCUUUUAAGAGCUUAUUGGGUCAAAAUAAGUUUAAAAAAAACUAUUUGAGAGAUUUUUCAUCCCAAAGUUUGUUCGACAUAGCUUGUAAAUUUACAAGCUCAAUCAAUAGAGGUUUUUUCAUAUUUUUAAUACUAUGUUUACUCAUUUCUUUUACAAACUGAUAUUAGUAGAAUUCAUAAAUAAGCUUUGUGAAAAAACUAAUCUGAUUGUGGAAUGUGGAUGUAGUCCAAUUGUGGAUGCUCUUACUAUAGUUGAUACCAAGUAUGAAUUGAACUAGAUCAUAUAUUAAGUUACACCACGUUCAGGCAAUUGAAUGUUUUUGGUCUUUCCCUCUAUGCAUUUGGUAACUAAAUCAUCCAGUUCCCACUAACUUGCUACAUAAUCAUCUUCAACCUCCUUUCACCUUAACUUGCUUCUAACUAGCACAUAAAUGUAGUUAUACUUAUACAUAAUCAUGAUAGUCUACGGAUUCUUUUUAUGCAUGAAUAAGCUAUUUACACAAGGGUUUUAAUCAUUCUAUCAGAUUUGCACCAGGUAAGUAGGUCAAUAAAACACCCUUCACCAUCUCAUAAAAGGGCAUUUUAACCACAUUGGAUUGAUCGCACAAAAGAACAAAAUCUAAAUGAAAACAAUCUUAAUAAUAGUUGGCAGACAAGAGACUGAAUCAUUGAGCGACAUUGAGAGGUGUAAGUUGCAGUAACAACAGUACAAGGUAAAAACUUACCCUUGUGAUAGACAGCAUCGUGAAUCGAUCGCCAGUCCUCAUAAACCCUAAUUUUCCACCAGCAUACGUAGCCACAAUUUCGAAAUCACCAUCAUCGCUUAUGAAUGGAUUAGCCGAAACAAGACCUUUCGACUUGGAUCCUUGAAAAGAGCACUCAGUUGCCAUUGUUUAGGAGUCCCACAUCGGAUGGAGCAUAUGAAAGGGAAGAGGGGUGGUGUGAUAUAAAAAGAGGCGAAGGGGUAACGGAUUAAGCAUCUUUGCGCUUGGGGCAAUGACGCAGCUAAUGAGGUAAUAACCGAGGCGCGUCAAUUGCUGGUUGAAAACUAUUUCCAAACCCCCUCCUUGGCCUUGGGUCUCCCUUGGCCAUCGAGAAUUUCUGGAAGGACUCCCUUUAUCGGCUAAAGUCCUACAAUUCCCAGUAAAAAAAAUUGAUUCUCUUAAUUUCUCCAUAAACACGGCUAAUUAAGUUAUAAUAUUGUGGUAAUAGGUUAAUUCUGCAUAAGAUAAUAAUAUAUUAUAAUAGCAUUAAUAUUGUAAUAUAAGUUCAUUUUUUUAUAUGUACGUUGUGCAUGUAUAUUAUUAUUGAUUGGAUUCAUUCACCAGAUAAAACAAUAAACAUAACUCCUUUGAGCAAUGCUUUAAAAUCUGGUUCGAAUCGGUCAAACCUAAAAAUCGGGACGAGAGCGGUUUAACAAUGAUCGGUUUUAUGUCGGUUUUUAGACCGAACUGAACCAAACUGUUUCUUUUAAAACCAGGUUGAAGUGGUAUAUUGUAUUUGGAUAGUUGGAUUUCACUUACCUGUUACAAAACAAUUUAUUUCCAAAACAUAAUAAAUAGUUUGAUUGAUCAGGUUAUUAUCCAGAGUGUACACAACUUGAAGGCUGAUGCACACCACCACCAUAUGUAGAAUGGUGGUCGAACCGGAAACGGUUAUCAAAACCGGUUCAACUAAAAAUCGGUUUUUAAAACAUUGUCUUUUAGUUGGAGUAUCUCACUUUAUAAUGAUUAUGUAUCUCGAUUAGAACAAAAAUCGGAAUCAACAUUCAAAAACAAAUUUCCAUUUCUAUUGACAGCCUGAUUAAAAAUAGGAUGCGCGUGUUUGAUCUUAAUACCUCAUUUAUAGGCUUUCAAUCAUCAAAUGUUGGAUUAUCAUUCAUGUUUUGUAUGUUCAAGGCCACCUAUUUGAAGUAGUCGUUCUAUUACAUGAGAGAGGCAUGACUUUCAAUAUUUACCUCUUUUUACCCACUUCUAAUGGAAUUGUAGGGUUUAUUGUUGGACGACAAAAACCAUGUCAUCUGCGACAUAAUCGUUUUGUGUAAUAUGUACCCAAUAAUUUUAAAAAUAUUAUUAUAAGUCUCAUAUUGAAUUGUACGUCAUAUGUACUAAAAUAUAUAUUUUUAGUAUUGAUUGUACCUUUUUAAGUUGUUUUUUUAGACUUAGCAAGUUUCUAUUUUUUCUUGAUUCAAGCUUUGUUGUUCUUUUCUAUCUUGUAUUUUUCAAAGAUAAUGAAUCAUAGUAUCUAAGUUUUGGAUCAUUUACCAAACUUUUGUUUUUUGUGCUUAAAAAGUGUCAUUUAACUAAAAUAAUAUGCAGAAAAACAGGUAAAACAUAACAGAUUUGUAAAAUUGAUAAGUUUUCUUGAAAAUUUUAUUUCAUGGCAACUUGGAAAUUUGAUAUCACAGAUAACAAAGGCAAAAGUAGAAAAAGACUUGUAAAGUUCAGAAAACAUAUUUAUGGUAAAAUCCGAUUUUUUUACAAACUUCAGGGCUUUUGUGUCAAAAGCCCUAAAAACCGUGCUAUUAUUAUAGUGAUAAAGAAAUUGUAACCAAGUCCACAUAAUCGACCUACGACAACAAUUAUUCGACCCAUUACAUGACUUGAGUCCUCAUGUAAGCUUUUCUCCAGCUAAAAUGUGAGAAAUUGGCUUUGGUAACACAAUAUUAUAGUUGCAACCUUCAUUUUACAUUGAUCCAAAGUAGAGUGCCUUUUUGGGGAGCCAAUCCGAUCAUGCUCACUCACUUCCCGACCAGCCUGCCAAUACAUAAAGGUGUGCAUUGGGUCUAGGCUAACCGAUAUGGGCCCGACCCAAAACUAUUUAUAAAAAUCCCAGUCCUCAUUAUAAAUUUUUUGACUAGGACAAUCGAUUAUGCGAGUUUAGAAAGAAAUUGGUUAUUCAAAACCGGUUAAAAUAAUUAAGAAGCCAUUUAGUGUUUUAAUAUUUUACUAAAAGAGUUUUAAAAAUCAAGCCAUAUAAUUUGUUAGGAAGACCAACUUAUAUUGGUUAAGGAUAAUUGGAAUUAGGCUUGGUUAAGGCAUGAGACCGGCUACAUAAGACUUGGUUAAAGUUUUUCGGAUUGGACUUAAGACCUGUUAUAACCGGUUAAAGGCACGGCUGGGCACACUUUUUGUUCACCUUUAGCAACAUAUCACGUGAAAGUUAUCCAUUUUUUGUCUACUGACUUUGACCUUGGUUGGAUGUAGUGCUUGUUGCUUAUAUUUUCAAGAUAGCAUGUCACGUUUUGUUUUUGUUUUUCAAUGACGUGAGCAAACAUAAAAAAGGGCAACUUGAGAUGCAAUGACAUCUUUCAUAUUCUUUUAGGUAGUGUUUGCUAUAUGAGACUUGAUUGGACAAGACUAAACAGAUAGAAACUAGACUCAUUGUUUAUGUAGUGUUUGGUACUUAGAACUUGAUAUAUGAAGAAGUUAAAAUUACCGGAUUGUCUUUUAUAUGAAAUAAUACAAAAUAAUCAAAAUCAUUGCAAAAUUAACAUAUUUUUCACACAAAUUAAUUAAAAAUCAAAAGAUUCAAACACUCCAAUAAAAAGAAAAAACUGCACAAAUGGUCCCUGUGGUUUGCUCAAAAUUGUCACUUUGGUCCAAAAAGGUUUGGACUAAUCCAAAGUUUUCAUUUUAUUGCUUGUUUAGUCAAAUAUGUUUUGAUUCUUUUCAAAAUAACGAAUUUGCCCUGUUAAUAUGAUUUUCUUUUUUCUUAUUUGUUUUUCUGAUUUUAUAUUUAAUAAAAUAAAAAUAAAUCACACACACUCUCUCUCUCUUAUUUGUUUUUAUUUUUGUGAUUUAGAUUUAAAAAAAUAAAAUAUCACACACACACACACGUCAUGCCAAGUUUAACCAAAGCCUUAAAGCGAUACGGUGUAUGAUACACACAUAGAUUGAUCCAUAUUCAACAUCAUCCAUCUUCAACCUUCAACAAACCUAGGGGUGUUCAUUUGGAUGGAUCGGUUUGAUCCGAUCCAAUCAAGUGAAUCCAAUUUGAUUUCGGUUUUCAAAACAUGGAUCCGAAUAGUCCAAUCUAAAUUCAAAUCCGAUCCGAUCCGAUCCAAUUACAAUUCGGUUGGAUCGGUUUUUAUAAUUCGGUUUUCAAAAAACGAAACAUUUUAAAACGAUAUAUAAUUAUAAUAUUACCCAACUUUACAAAAGAACCAAAAACAAAUUAUUUAGUUGCAUUUUGAAAUUUUUAAAAAACUACUAAGAAGAUAUAUUAUAGUUAAAUAUUUUAUACAUAGAAAACUUUUGAGAGAAAAUACAUAUUAAUGUUUUUUUUGUAUCGAGUGUAACGUUUUGAACCUAUUUGAAAAAAUAAGUUACCAAAUUAAUAAAUAACUAUGGAUAUAUAUUAUAAAUAGAUAAAUAAUAAAUGUUUAUUCGGUUUUUUUGGAUUAUUCGGUUCUUAUUUUAUAAACCAAAAUCAAUCCGAAAUCCAAAAUAAUAAUUCGGUUUUGUUAAAAACCAAUCCAAGAAUCCGAAAAUCCGAACCAAAUAGUCCAAUCCAAAUUGUCCAAUUGGAUAAUUCGGUUUUAUCCGAACAGUGAACAGUCCUAAACAAACCUCAUCACCAAAAUCACCUUUAAUCUCAUUCCACCUCACCAUAACUUCAACGCCUCCACCAGAAAUUUCCAGUUGUCAAGAGCCGCUUAGAUUCCACACCCACCUAUCAACGUCGAUUACCUCGAAACAAAAUUUAGCGGCCAUGGCACUUCCUUCACAAACCUCAGAGAAAGUUCACGAUAAGCAAAAUGAAGGGAUUUCAUGGUCUCCCACUAUCUGGAAUCUUUGCAGUGUUGGAGGAAGUCCAGACAAUUCAGGUGAAUACUCAAUUCACGAUAUCUAUUUUCCGUUCCUCUGUAUGAAUGAAUUGAAAUUGCCCUAAUGUUCUUAGGCAGAACUGAUUAGUAGCAUAAAAUUGAAAUCAAACACAUUGUAACUUUGAAAGAAGAUGCUAUAAGCUUAGAGAUUGUGAUUACGAAUUUCAGAUCUUCAUCACUCCGACUAACAGGAUGGAUAAUCGGUCACUUAGCUGUGAGCACACUGGAAGCAUCAUACGCCAUCCGACUCGAGAGAGCAAAUUACUUCGUUAAGCCACAAAUUUUCUCAAAAUCCAUCAUUAUUCCUCCUGAUAUCCACAAGAAUGAUUCGUGUCAAUUAGGGUUGAAGCGACUACUAUCAGAUUUGGGACUCAAGCCUGAAUCAGGACUUGAAAGAUGAAACAACAAAAAAUAGGGAAGAAGAUGAAGAGAUUGAAGGUGAAGAGGAUGAUAACUACAAGAAUUUAAUUGGGAAACUAAGCUUGAUCUCUCAUUCAAUGAUUUAAGUUGUGAAAUUCCCGAUGAAAUUUGGAGUAUGAAGAUGGAAGCGAUUAAUCUCGAAGGGAGCAUGCUCAACUGGAAUUUAAACUCUAAUUUCAGUGAUUUGGAAAACCUUAGGGUUCUUCAAUGAUUUCCAACGAGAGAGAGAGAGAGAGAGAGAGAGAGAGAGAGAGAGGCAGAGAGGGAGAGAGAGAGAGAGAGAGAGAGAGAGAGAGAGAGAUUUUAUUUUUUUUAAAUCUAAAAUCAGAAAAAUAAAAACAAAUAAGAGAGAGAGAUCUAUUUUUAUUUUUUAUUUUUUUUUAUUUUUUAAAUAUAAAAUCAGAAAAACAAAUAAGAAAAAUAGAAAAUCAUAUUAACAGGGCAAAUCCAUCAUUUUGAAAAAAAUCAAAACAGAUUGGACCAAACAAACAACAAAAUAAAAACUUUAGAUCUCUGGUGCUAAUCCAAAAUUUUUUGGACCAAAGUGACAAUUUUUGAGCAAACUACAGGGACCAUUUGUGCAGUUUUGUCCAAUAAAAAUAAAAAGACCAAAUAGCCUAAUUCUAUUAUCACUUUUGAAGAAAUAGUCCAAAAUUAGCCAAAUUUCCAAAAUAGCCAUUGAUUUCGAUUUUGACACUAUGUUAUUUUUUUUACAAUUUAGUCAUUAUGUUUUCUAAUUUUUGCAAUGUUGACCACUUAACUGGUUAACUCAGAGUUACCCCGAUGAUGUGACAUACUAACAUUUCAGUUUUUGGUGAUGUGGCCUGCUGAUGACGACGUUGUUUGGUUAUGUGAUGUUAACAUGGCAUGAUGAGGUAUCAAAAUUUAAAAAGGGACCAAAAGACACUAAGUUUUGUUUUGUUUUUUUUUUUCAAUUUCGACACUCCAUUUUUUUUAUUCCAAACCGAACAUCAUUCUUUCCAAUUAAAUUCAAUCGGCUGCCCUCUAAUCAUCUCAAAAUGAUCACAACAUCAUAACCCAUGAAAACACAAUCAAUAUCAUAACUCUUGGGAUCAAUGAUAUCUUGCAUGGUGAAGUGUGAAGAUGGUGGCAAAAUCCAUGUUCGUGAGCCUUCAGGUUGUGUUGGUUUAGUAGGAGAUCAAGAUAUUCUUAAAUCCGAGAUAACUUGUGAUGAUAAUUUAUCGUUUAAUGAAAGUGUUGAUAACAAACAUACAUAUGAUCAUGAUGGCCAUAUCAAUCAACAAGAUCAAGCCAACGAGACCUUUAAUAUAGUUAUCGAACACCUUGAUCAUCAUAUAGUUGAUCAAGAACAUCAAGAACCAGAAAAUGAACAAGUGGCUCAAGAGGUAGAUGUUGGAUCAGUAGAUGAAAUUGAGAAGCUAAAGAUGAAGAUGUUGAAGAAACCAAAAUGGAAGAACCAGAACAUGUUGAAGCCGAACCAGAAGAUGAAGGACAUGAAUGAACCGAACCAGAAAGCGAAGAAACCAAACCAUGAAGAAACGAAACCAUAUGCACAUGAAGAAACCCAUACAGAAGAGGCAGAACAUGAAGAAACAAAAACAGUUGAGCUAGAAAUCAAAGAGGAUGAUGUAUAGGUACCGGAAAAUGAAGAUUCGACAUCAAAAGUGGUGAUCAAGAACCAAAAAGUUUAUUGAUAUGUGUUUAAAUGGAAAAUGAUCAACACCGAAUAAAAUUGAAAAAAAAUAAUAAUGUUCGAUUUGGAACAAGAAAAAAUGAAAUGUCAAAAUUGAGAAAAAAAAAUGAAAACUUAAUGUCUUUUAUGCCACCUUUUUUUUUUUUUUUUAAUUUUGACCUGUCAUCAAGUCAUGUCAACGCCACAUAAUCAAACAUUGUCAUGUCAGUAUACCACAUCACCAAAGACUAACAAGUCAGAAUGUCACGUCAACGGGUAAGUGGGUUGACCGGUUAAAUAGUCAACAUUGCAAAAAUUAGAAAGCUUAGUAAUUACAUUGAAACAAAACAUAACAGUGUCAAAAUUGAUUUUUGCAAAUACAUACUGACUUUUGUGCAAUUUACCUAGUUUAAACCUGGGAAUUUAAAAAAAAAAAUUGUGAACUUUUUUGUUGUUAAAAUCUUAAAAGAACAUAUCCACAACAAAAUGGAGCUUUAAAUUGAAUAAUCAGAAACUGAGAUAUUCAAGUUCUUAAUUAAGAAUAACUUGGUAAUUUAAUACAUAUGUUACAUUUGUUAACAUUGUUUAUUGCGAUUUUAUUCAAUUUUCUUGCGUAUUCAAACCAGGUCCUAUCAUAUGUAUAAUUCUCUAUAUUUCAUUAUUUUGAAUGAUUUUGGAUCAUCUUCUCUCCUAACUCUUAUUUUUCUUGUGUUUGACCAAUAGUCAAACUAUUUAUAACAGGGAAAUCUUCAGGAAAAGUCCCAUUAUUUUGGAAAAAGUUACAUUUAAGUCCUAAUAUUUUUUUUUGAACAAAAAAACCCAAGAAACCGGAUAAACCUUUAAUCCUUUUUGACCUGUUGAGCAGGUCACCUAUGCCACAUGGCAUGCCAGCUGUACAAGGGUUGAUGUGGAUGCUGAUGUGUGGCAUAGGUGACCUGCUGAACAUGUCAAAAAGGAUUAAAGUGUAAGGUUUAUCCAGUUUCUUGGGUUUUUUUGUUAAAAAAAAAAAAUUUAGGACUUAAAUGUAACUUUUUCCAAAAUAAUAGGACUUUUCUGAAGAUUUCCCUUUAUAAAACUAAUGAAGUUUGCCUAGAAUUACAAGGAUUGAAAGUACAAGGCUAUCAUUGGUUAACAUUAUGUGUGACUUUUAUAUUUGCUAAAAAGUUUACAAAAAAUAAUAAUAAUAAUAAUAAAUCACAGAGGAAAGUUAAGGAAGCUAGAGGCCUGUAUUGCUUUCAGGGUUUGAAUCAAAAAGUGGUGAUUGUGGAUGACAAUGGAUGGGUCUAUGCAUUGGUGCUGUUAUCACACUAUUUCUUGUUUUUUUAAAAUUACUUUAUUUCAAUAAGAAAUUCUCAAAUUUGGGUCAAUUAUUCAACAAAGUUGGGAGACAAAAUUCUCUGAUUUGGGGUCCUUUAAAGACAGAAAAGCAUUUCGACCUGAAAUUUGCAAUAAUGCUAUGAUGGAUGAUGCUUAUGGAAACACAAUCAAGGUCUCAAAUAGUAAAUACAACUUGCAGAUUUGUAGAGGGGAUUUCUAAACAACUAUUGUAAAGCAACCAUCUUAACUUAAAAAUUCUUUUGUAAAGGUUAGCAUUCUUAGGAUUUUAUCGUUUCAUUUAAUAUAUGAACUAUUUCUUUUUCUGUAAUUGAAAUGUUAUUUUUAAUCUUUGCAGGUUAUAAAUUCCAAGGAUCUGUCAUUUGUAAGAUAUUCCAUCAUAUGUACAUCAACAUUUACAUACCUUUCCUUUGGCAAGUAAACAAGGUAUGCACUAACUUGCUUCAAAUUCUACUUAAUCACCAACUAAUUUCGAAUACAGAUGGUUUAUUUUUUAAUUCUACGCACAAUUAGCCUAUUUUCAGAAGGGUUUAAUCAUUACACCCGUUUUUGGCAUGUGGAUAAAACCUACACACAGCUACACAGACAAUUAAGGCAAGAAAAUACUUUGCUCCAUCUCAUAAAAGGGCAUUUUUACAACAUUUGGAUGAUUGCACAAAAGAACAAUCUUGAUAACAGUUGGCACACAAGAGAUUAAGUGACUUUGAGAGGUGUAAGUUGCAGAAACUCAUGAUCGUAUAACAACAGUACAUCAUAAAAACUUACUCUGUGAUAGACAGCGUAUCAUCAAUCAACCGAUACUCGUCAUAAACCCUAAUUUCCCACCAAGCGUAGCCACAGAUUAGAAGAAACAACACGUUCGGACGAUAGUUGGAUCCUUGAAAGAACAUGCAGUUGCCAUUGCUGAAUUGUUUAUGGUGGUCAUUAAAGACGCAGGAAGAAAAAGUAAGAUUUAGGAACGUCCCACAUCGGAGGGAGCAUAUGAAAGGGAAGAGGGGUGGUGUGAUAUAAAAAGAGGCGAAGGGGUAACGGAUUAAGCAUCUUUGCGCUUGGGGCAAUGACGCAGCUAAUGAGGUAAUAACCGAGGCGCGUCAAUUGCUGGUUGAAAACUAUUUCCAAACCCCCUCCUUGGCCUUGGGUCUCCCUUGGCCAUCGAGAAUUUCUGGAAGGGCUCCCUUUAUUGGGUAAGGCCCUACAAUUUCUAGUAUAAAAAUUUUGAUCAUAGCUUUGUAGAAAAAACUGUAUGAAUUAGUCAAAGUCUUUUUACUGUUUUUUUUUUUAUCAAUUUUCAAGGUUUUUCGUAUCAAAAAUGUUUUUUGCGUGACUUGGUAUUAAUUUUUAACGAUAUGUGUUCUAUUGAAAUGUUUUAAAACAAAUUUGAAAAUUUCAACCUGAACAACCUUGUGGGUUACCAUCUUCAGCGAGAAUAUCAUAGACCGAAGAUAAAUCUUGGAUGCUAAAUCAUAUGUUUUGACUUUUUGGUUUAAUCUUUUUCCUUUUAACUAUUGUUUAUUUUAUUUUUCAAGAAUGAAAGUAAAAAAAUGUAACUACUUACAAUGGGGGGAUCUUGACUCUCCUAAAAAGAAGUUCAAUUCCACUAAAACGAGUGAUAUUGAACCAUACAAGGCUGCAAUCAUCAGGAAUCUAGUAAACCAAAUGAGACCUAAAGAGAAGCAACAAAUCAGGUUAAGUAAAUUGAUGUGUAAUGGCAAGUGUAAUAUUUGAAAUGGCUUCAGCUUAAUGAGCCAGAAACAUAUAGUCUUUAUGUAUAGAAAACAUAUUUCAUGUGAUUUUAAAAGCGUAUUAUUAAAUUAAUAAUCAUAUUUACUUGAUAAUGUUUCUCUAGAGCAUGCAAACACACUUAUGGCCACUUCCACCUCUUACCCAUUUUGUAUGUUAUUAAUAUCAAAGACAAAGAAAAAUGUAAAGAAAGCCAAGACUUGUAGUAAAAAAGACGUACAAAUAAUGGUAUAGAGGAUAUAAUAUUUCUAACUCUGUGUUACAAAUUGAACCAACAAAAUACAUACAAUACAUGGCAUAACUUUAUGACUUGAUAAAACAUCCGCUAACAAAGUUUGGUAUAUUAAUAACCUAAUCCCUUCAUAUACUAAACAAAACAAAAUUUUCUCAAUUUCUUCUAGAAUUCCAUCCACAAUCAAACACGUCGUUUUAUGAAAACCAUCGGGCCAUUUCAUGUAUGUAUGCAUGCAUGUUAUGUACAUUCAUCAUAAUGGUUGAAUGUUGUUGGCCUCUUCACUCUUCAGCUUUUUUAGCAAGCUUUGCUAAUUCUUAACUGAAUUCACCAGCUUCAAAUCCAGACGCUUUAACAAAGAUCAGGGAACUCUUGAUACCCUUUCAAAACCUUCAAGAUGUGAAAGCUUUAUUUUAGGAUAAAUUACAGGAAAAUGAUUAUACUUUUGGGCAAUUUUGCGGUUAACCAAUUAUACUUUAUUGUUUUUUCAAACAAACAGUAAAAGUUCCAAAUAUUUUCUCAGUUUAACCAUUUUGACCUGAUAUAACAUGUCAAAAUGUUUAAUUUGGAAAAUUACAUUCACUUGCUACAUAUCAACAGGACAAAAUGAUGCAAAGAUGUUUGAAACUUUUAUGGUUUAAUUCGAAAAAAUAAAGUGUUAGAAGUUAAACAACAAAAUUGCUCAAAAGUAAGUAUUAAGUUGCACCACAUAUAGGCAUAUGAAUGUUCUACGCAUUUGAUAACUAAACAUGAAUAUAUCAUCCAAUUCCCACCACUAAACUUGCUUCGAACUAUCACAUACAUGUAAUUAUACAUAAUCAUCAUAGUCCACUUGUUCAAUUUUAUGCAUGAAUAAGCUAUUAGCAUUUAUAAAAGGGCUUUAAUCAUUCUAAAAGAUUUACACCACGUAAGUAGGUUAAUAAAACACCCUUUACCAUAUUAUAAAAGGGCAUUUUAACCACAUUGGAUUAAUCGCACAAAAGAACAGGAUCUAACUCAAAACAUUCUUAACAACAGUUGAAAGACAAGACAUUGAACGACAUUGAGAGGUGUAAGUUGCAGAAACUCGUGAUGCAACAACAGUAGAAGUUAAAAAUUUACCCUUGUGAGAUAGACAGCAUCUUGAAUCGAUCUCCAGUCGUCAUAAACCCUAAUUUUCCACCCAUAAUACGUAGCCACAAUUUCGAAAAUCACCACCAUCGGUUAUGAAUGCAUUAGCCGAAACAACACCUUUCGACUACAGUUAGAUCCUUGAAAAGGACAUUCAGUUGACAUUGUUUAGUAGUCCCACAUCGGAUGGAGCAUAUGGAUGGAAGAGGGGUUGUGUAAUAUAAAAGAAGGUGAAGGGGGAUUAGAAGAAUUAUCUUUGCGCUUGGGGCAAUGACGCAGCUAAUGAGGUAAUAACCGAGGCGCGUCAAUUGCUGGUUGAAAACUAUUUCCAAACCCCCUCCUUGGCCUUGGGUCUCCCUUGGCCAUCGAGAAUUUCUGGAAGGGCUCCCUUCAUUGGGUAAAGUCCUACAAUUACAAGUAUAAAAUUAUUAUUGGAAGGCAAUAAUUUGUAUGUUGCUUUUAGGUUGCAAUAUCGACAUGAAAACUAAUCCCAUAUUAAAAACAAUUACUAAUUCCAUAUUAAAAACAAGACACUUAAACGCUUUGAAAAAGAAGAGGGUUAUUAGUGAUGUACAAAG